Molecule: ribosomal RNA, 310 nt
Filed under: uncultured eukaryote
Lineage: Eukaryota
Description: partial 18S ribosomal RNA
Rfam family: Eukaryotic small subunit ribosomal RNA
Source: RNAcentral
CCCUUAGAUGUUCUGGGCCGCACGCGCGCUACAAUGGCGCUUUCAGCGAGUUCCUAUGUUGAAUUUUCCUGGGUAUUCUUGGAAGCGGCGUCUUGACUUGGGAUAGAUCCUUGUAAUUGUUGGUUUUGAACGAGGAAUUCCUCGUAAUCGCGGUUGAUCAGCUCGCGUUGAAUACGUCCCUGCCCUUUGUACACACCGCCCGUCGCUCCUACCGAUGAAUCGUCCGGUGAAGUUCACAGAGUGGCGGUUCGUGGAGUUGCUCGCGAAGUGAAAUGGACCUCACGAUUUAGAGGAAGGAGAAGUCGUAACA